RNAcentral lists this transfer RNA (78 nucleotides) under Ignavibacteriota bacterium. Its description in RNAcentral is "Ignavibacteriae bacterium tRNA-Pro". It matches the Rfam family "tRNA". Rfam says of the family: Transfer RNA (tRNA) molecules are approximately 80 nucleotides in length. Their secondary structure includes four short double-helical elements and three loops (D, anti-codon, and T loops). The record is from RNAcentral. Lineage: Bacteria; Pseudomonadati; Ignavibacteriota.
CGGGACGUGGCGCAGCCCGGCUAGCGCACUUGCUUGGGGUGCAAGGGGUCGCGGGUUCAAAUCCCGCCGUCCCGACGA